RNAcentral lists this long non-coding RNA (757 nucleotides) under Panax ginseng (ginseng). RNAcentral describes it as "long non-coding RNA (PGIN_LNC006257)". Lineage: Eukaryota; Viridiplantae; Streptophyta; Magnoliopsida; Apiales; Araliaceae. The record is from RNAcentral.
AGUAAGAAUUUUUUAAGAUAAUGAGAGAAGCUAGAAGUGAUAUAAAAAAGUAAAUAAGUUAUAAAAGACAAAUAAAUUAGAAUAAAUUUUUUCAACUAAAACGUCACGAACGGAAGGAGUAGUAAAAUUCAUUAAAUGAUGUUCUGUUUCACUGAAACAAGCAUUAUACAUUAACAAUUAGAGAACUAAAGAUUAAUGGAUCGAACAAGACUAGAUUACAGGGCAAGUUUGAGAUCUAACAGCCCGCCUUCAGUAUGUUCUUCUAAUUUCUUCUUGUCUUCUUUUUUGUUAAUAAUGAGAUUGCUAUUAGGAACGCCGGCCGGGAAAAGUAGUGAAGGAGGAGGAGGCUGCUUUCUAAACUCAAUCUCUUGCGUAAAAUCUUCCCAUUGGAACGCCGGCACCCUACCGGAUUACUGAUGAUCAUCGGAAUUCCUCAUCUUCUUUUUGUUUCUUGCCUCUAGCUCAUUCAGCUCAUUUCUCCGGCGAUUGCGCGCUUCCUGAAAUCCUCUGAUCAGAGCAAAGAAUUUCUCCAUUCUCUCUUCCUCAUUUUGAUCGUCGUCUUCUUCUAAUUUUCCGGUGACGGAAACAAAUUUCUCCGGUAAUCUCUUCUCAUUUUCCAUCUCUCUGAUAAGUUUUGGGUCUGAUCGGAAACAAAUCGUGUGAGAAGAAGUUAAUUUCUCAGUGUUUUGGUUUGGUUUUAGUUUUUUACAAAUAAUAAUUUAUAGAAAUUUGGGUUUUGAAUCGGAAAGACAGAAAU